CGGGUUUCUAAGCAGAUGGAGUGAACAGCUGACUGAGAAGCUCAAGCCUGAAGCAGGUGGCGGAUUCUCUUAGCAGCACCAAAUCACCCUGUCAGGCAGCCCAGCCAGGGCAGCUCAGGAGUGGGCCACAGAGCAGGACCUGCCAGGACGUCCAGAGAGUGUGGGUGGAAGCUGCUUCCCAGUGGAGCCUGGCCAGGGGGCGACUGCCAGACAGUGAGGCGGAUGAGUCAGCCCUGAAAGCGAUCCUGGCCAUGACCUAGUGGGAGAGGAGAGAACAGAAGGGGCAGUCAGGAACUGACAGGUGGGCUGUGCAACAGGAAGGGGUCACAGACCCAGCAGGUGGCAGGGCAGAUGGAGGAGAUCAAGG
This 367-nucleotide long non-coding RNA is filed under the name Homo sapiens (human). RNAcentral describes it as "HSALNT0346672". Lineage: Eukaryota; Metazoa; Chordata; Mammalia; Primates; Hominidae. The record is from RNAcentral.